CGGCCGCGCCGGGAUUGGCCGGCGGUAAUUGGGGGGGGGUGUUAAUUAGGCAAAAUUAACGUGGGGGGGGCUGCGGCGGGGGCGUGCGCACAGGGGCCCGGAGAAAAUUCUUCUGGAGGGGGAAGAGUUAAGGGAAAAUAAUUCUAGAAUUUCAGGAGAAAUGUAAGAAAAGGAUCCAGGAUUUGCCAGAAUAAUGUAAGAGGAGAUAAACUAGUUCGAGAGUGGCAGGAGCCGUACUUGAGAAAAUCAUUCUGGAAUUGCGAGGAAGAAAAUAAUUCUAGGGUUGCAAGACAACGAGUCUAGAUUUGAAAGAGUACAUAAAGUCACUCGAGAAGGGCAAGAAAAAGAAAUUCAGUCUGGAGGGGCAGGAAGCCAAUUCUAGGAUUGCAAGAACCAGAUAAUACUAGAAUUUCAAGAAUAAAUGUAAUCCUGUAUUUGAAAGAAGAUAAAACAAUUAUAGAAUUGCGAGGAUAAAGUGAAAUAGUUCUAAACCGGCAAGAAUAAGGUAAGAAAACAGUUAUGGAAUUGCAAGAAAAUAUUCUAGAGCUGCAACUAUAAAGGAAAAUAGUUCUAGAACGGCAAGAACAAGGUAAUUCUAGAAUUGUAAGAAGGUAAGAAAAGUUAUAGAAUUGCAAAACCAAGGUAAAAUAGUUCUGGAAUUGCAAUAAGAAAAAUUCUAGUAUUGCAAGGACAAGAAAAUUCUAGAAUUGCAUGAACAAAUUUAUUCUACAUCUGAAAGAGGAUAAAAGGAAAACAAUUCUAGAAUUGCAACAAUAAGGUGAAAUAGUUCCAGAACUGCAAGAAUAAGGUAAGAAAACUAUGGAACUCUAAGAAAAAAUUCUGGAGCUGCAAGAAUAAAAUCGUUCUAGAACAGCAAGAAGGUGGUAAGAAAGUAAUUCUAGAAGGAAGUGGCUUCCACAGAGCCAGAUUUAACAUCUUCCACAGUUGUGGGUAAAAUUCCGGCAACUGAAACACCGUCCAGCUGGGGUAAUGCUGCCCGUCACAUGGGCAGCGUAAAUAAAAAAAGUAACUAUAUAAUAUAAAUAAUAUAUUAAAGGUCACAAAGCACUCACAUAAUGCAAAGUGGAAUCAGCACAGCAAAAUCAGACCAAUUAAAGAAUGAUCCCAUCGUUCUUUAAUGGACUAAAGAAUGCAGCGUUCAGGAGUACCAAACUGAGACCCCAACAUCGAGGCUUUUUCCCCCCAAAACGAGAUUAGUGAGGACAGGUUUGAAUUGCAAUUAAAAGCGUCCUCAAACUCCGAGGAGACUGAGCCCUGCAGUACUCGACUCUGACCUUCGCCUCCAACGUUGCAAACAGCUCGAACAGCAGGGACAGGAGCGAUGCUUCUGCGUUGAGGACACAUUUUUUUUAAUGACAGUUUUAUGGCUUGACCUUUGCUGACCCCAGCUAAGCUUUGCGUAACUCCGCAGGUUUCUCCUAAUCACCUGGGUAAAACUGGUGGUUUUCAAGCCUGGCCUUAAAGAAGAGCACGCCUUAAAAGAGAGGCUGCUCUGCAGUGAAGAUAAAAACCACACAAAUGGCCCUACAGUUCCCCACAAGUACGAUAAAUGAGACGAGCUCAACGCGCUGUUAAGAAGUGAGAAAGGGGGAAUCUAAGAAACACCGCGGGCGAGGAAAACCGCUGGAGAUUUGUGCUGUGGCUUUCCCGAACUCUGAAGAAGGGCUUUGGCUCCUCCGCCACCUUCUGGCUGCCUCGGCCGAGCGCAGGCACGGAGCGCAGCGGCUGCCCCGGCUGCUCGUCCCUCUGCAGCCAGCGAGCCCCGAACCCAACUCCCUCACCCAGCACCUUGCUGCCAUCAGAGGCCUUCACCCUACCGAGACAAAUGUUUGCGGCACGGGGAGAGCUUGUUUGCGGGGAUUGCAAAACACUGAGAAGAGGAAGUUGGCUGGAAGUGGUUCUCAAGGCAACUUGUGGGUAUUUUACACCCCUCCGACCCCUCUGCUUGGCUGCACAAGACUUCCCUUUUCUUCAUCUUUUGUUGAAAACGGCGUCUGGAAAGCUCAUCCCUGUGUCUGACCUCCGUGGAGGUGACAGGACUUCACCAGAAGCUGCGUCGGUAGCAACACAAGGCCACGCCAGCUGGGGAAGAACCUCUGCAGGCUCCGACAGCCUCCUGCCCUCCACCAGCUGCUGCAGCCUCAGAGGAGGAAGGGAAGCCAGGUCCGUUUUGGGGAUGACGUUCGCUUCAGAGAUAACGCCAGCCCAGCGCUCGUGUGGGGUUUUAAAAAAAAAAACAACUCAGCAAGACAUGCAGAGCUGUCAGCAAAUUAUUCCCACGGAAAAAACCCUUUCCCACAGCAGACAGCUCCCUUCUCGUGCUGAGAGGUUGUGCUUCUCUUCACGUCAGCCUUUAAACCCCCAGCUGAUCCCUUCUCCCAGCACAGCUGGCUGCCCUCAAGGCUUUGGCCACACAUCUGCAUCUAAAAUUCCCCAAGAAGUCCCACAGGAGGCCAAAUUUCUGCCUCUACUCCCCUCCUCUUAAUCACACACUCCACCUAAGAGGUAUUUUUCCAAAUGAGUAAUCUCCAGGCUGCUGCAAUCAGGAGAUCUCCCUCCCUUUACACCAGCAUUACCAUAUGCCUCUUUAAAACCCCCGUGGUUCGCUCUGCAGCGCUUGCCGACGAUUGGUGUGGAGGUAAACAGGCACACUUGCUUCCUCCUUCACAAAUUCUCCGUAGAUGAAGAGCAACGUAUAAGGAAUGAUUCAUCCAGAUCUUCCUGUAGUUGCUUAAAAGUUACGGUUUUACAGAUGUCAUGUGAAAAGAACACAGUUGAGUUAUUUUGACAUUCGCAGGAGAUGUUAAUGACACUCAGUAUUUCUAAAAUAAAGGUUCCUCUUCCUCAGGAAAAUGUGUCUCUUGGC
This is a long non-coding RNA of Athene cunicularia (burrowing owl), 2887 nucleotides long. RefSeq lists it as uncharacterized. The transcript has 3 exons. The record is from RefSeq and is a predicted model, not a curated record. NCBI's taxonomy places the organism in Eukaryota, Metazoa, Chordata, Aves, Strigiformes, Strigidae.